Molecule: long non-coding RNA, 235 nt
Organism: Rosa chinensis
Lineage: Eukaryota; Viridiplantae; Streptophyta; Magnoliopsida; Rosales; Rosaceae
Exons: 4
Source: RefSeq, a predicted model, not a curated record
CCUGUCACUCAGCAAACGAAGGAUGUCAUGGUGGCAGUGAUGGAUUGCAUGGCUAUGUUCCUUCACUUGACCAUGUUGUUGCUGAUACUGGGGAUUUCUUGGAAAAGAUUAGAUUACAGAACCCUGGAGCACCGUGCUUCCUCUUUGGUCACUCAACUGGAGGAGCUGUGGUUUUGAAGGCGGCAACCUAUGCUAAAAUUGAAGAAAAGGUGGAAGGUAUAAUACUGACCUCACC